This 122-nucleotide transfer RNA is filed under the name Roseobacter sp. MED193. RNAcentral's name for it is "tRNA-Val". Lineage: Bacteria; Pseudomonadati; Pseudomonadota; Alphaproteobacteria; Rhodobacterales; Roseobacteraceae. The record is from RNAcentral.
CCAUACUUUGCAAAGGUCACAACCUGCGCUUGGCUGACCUCCAAGACUUGGGUCUCGUAUCAACCGCCCUGAUCGGCUGCUGCCAGCCCGAAGCGGUCAUGGAACGAAACUGUGGGGGUGGU